CGUUGCACAGGCCCCGAUUUGCAAUUCAAAUCAAUUCAAUCCCACAAAAGGCUCUUUCGCCUCUAUUAAGUCGUUGUGGCAGAAGCAAUGGAUAUCCUGCGAGGACAGCGAAGAAGAUACGGAGCUGGAAAAUCCGCUUCCUGGCGAAAGUGCGAAAAUGACACAGGUAGCCUAAAACGUAGCGAUUGUUUUGGAUUAUGGAGACAGGACCUCGUUGGAUUGCCAAAAAUGUCAAGUUGUCCGAUUGUAUCCAGCAUGUUGGAGAAAAGAGAUGCCGAGGUCUCUUAGCCAAGGGUUCCGUUCUGUUGGCUAGCUGCUACCAACGGUCUGAAAGGAGUGGGAAAAGGGCCAUCCCCAAGGAAAGGGGAAAAUGAGAAGGAGGGGUAGGUUUCCGAUGCCAAAAUCUGGACCAACCCGGCGAGGUCAAAGGCCUCAGACCGCGGGAGUGUAAAGUAAUGAUGAUGAUGAUGUCAUGAAAAAUCGCAAAUGCACGCUCCUAUUCAUGCACGAGCGAGUGGCAAAUCUCCUCGCGUCAUUACCAAGUGCACCGGAAUAAUUCAGUUUUCCGCUAGCAGUCUGCACGCGCUUUCCAGAAUUAUAAAAAAGGACAGAAGUAGAAAAUGAUUGUUCUGUGGUGCGAACGGUCGUCUUGAUCCUGUUUGAAUCCAGUAAAGGUAUAAACUCCAGCCGAUUAAACCACCAAAUACAAGGGCUCAUAUCUAUGGAGGAUAUUAUGGCAGCAUUCCAGGGCUGGGUAGAGCAUCGUGACUGUAUUCUCUCACAGAUAAAACCGAGUAGGGUCUUUGCUGUAAGCACGGAACUGGGCCGGUUUGAACCGAGAGUGAGGGACAAUGCGAGACACUUUAAUUGUCUCGAUUUGAGUCGAAUUCCAAUUAACUUUGUUUUUUUUCAUCGUCGAGAUGUAUAAGCUACUGUGGUUUCCAGACAGAAACACACCUGUACCAAUGAUGUACCAAUUGAACCUUUGAUAAUUCAAUUGAGGAAAUCUAGCUCCAAGAGCAAGAAAAGCAAAAUGUGACCCACACUUUGGGACCAGCUCCGAGCGGGUGUGAGCAGUGCAGAUGGAGAAAAUGAAGUGAAGAAACCAAGGGUUCUGCCUGGGAAAUCGCCCAUGCAUAAUGAAACCACCCGCUCCGCCAUUCUCAAUGCUUCGACGCUGUUGGUUCCAGCCUGCGUAUUAUUUGUAAUAUUGAUGCAUAUGUAAAAGGUAUAUUUGCAUUUGCUUUACUUUUUUAUGAUUCGUUUAGCAUUCUAUUACUUUUGGUGGUGAUUGCUAUGCGUAUUUAUCUAUGAUGACGAGCAGCUACACGAAUACAUAACCUUACGAAUCAUACACAAAUAACAGUAAAUAACAUUAUGCAAAGUGUAUUAGUUUGUUAAGAAUGUGAAAAAGUCAAAUAUAAUGUUUUUAACCUUGGACAAUGUAUGAACAAAGCGACUUGUCAAACUAUAGAAGAGAUUCAGUGCGAUUAUAAUGCUGAGGAUAUGUUCUUAUUUAAACUUGAAUUAUCUAUUUUAAAACGUUUCAAUUUAUUUAUAUACUCCAAGCAGUGUGCUGUAGAUUGUGCUUGGGAUUAGUUUACAUGAAACCUUUAGGAUCACGGUAUGUGAAAUGUGCAUUUGCAGGAUGUAAGUAGCUAAAUGUUAAGUGUUACCGCACCUUAGGUUUCUUUAAAGGCGACAUUUCCCCGGUAUAGGCUGAUGAUGCGUACACACACAGGCGGCGUUUACGGGAGCGCGCGCGCGGCCACAGCACCACCCAACCAUGCACACACACGCACGCUCACAGACACACACACACACACGCUGACAAACACACAGAAAGAAACGCUGACUUGUUAACCGUUGUCUUGAAAUAGCAAGUCUGUUAUUUUUUCCGUAGCUUAUUGUCGUUUUGUUUUAUCAAAAAAAUGUUUUGCAUAAUUAGUAUUUUGCCUGUUUAAAAUAAAAUCGCAAGGCGUCGUCUAAAGUAAAUGAGACACAUUUAACUUACCCUUAUAUUUUACAUAACCAUUCAAAUCUUCCUGGGCUAUGCACGCGCUCUCAAUCAAGUCGACGCCAAUUGUCCAGCCCAACUUAUUGUGCGAGCCGGUUGGAGAUGCUCUAGUCCCUACUCGUAACUCAGCCUCCUCGUCAAGUGAACCUUGCUCCCGAACCGCUCGUCUGAUGUGUCACCCAAUAGAAGUGGUCAGACGUGUCCACGUAGGCUAAAGAUUUUUCCCUCCAAACAGGGCUCAUGCUGUCAUGGACAUGCAAGUUGUUUGGGUUGACACAGGCUAAAUCAUAGUCUCCAACGUUCUAAGAUUAUUGCACAUCAUUUGCGCUCGUCACUUGUAAAACCAAACCACCAUUUUGCGAAUUUCUAUGAUCAAUCUAAAAGUGUGACGCACUAGGACCAAUACGUAACGUGAGGAAUGUCAGCUAUGUGACCUAGAUAAGUCGGGAGGUUCGUUUCCAAUCACUUUAAUAACACGUGUUUUACUGAUGCUGGCCCGAACAUGGUCUAUAGAAAUAUUUCGUAAAAAGAUAACUAUGUGAACAUUAUUAUUUUUUUAAAUACAAAAAUACAUUUCCUAUAUUUCGCAUUAACAUGUGCAAACAUGUUUAAUAGAAAGUCACCGACUACUGCACUUGUGCCAGUAACACGUUGACCUAAACUGGCUGAAUUUAAAUGAUUGUGAAGAAACUGCCAAAUAUUUUAAAAUAGACGGCCGUUGAGAUUUAUAACUGCAUAGGCUCGGAUAAAAAGUAGCCAAUGCUUCAAAGUAAAAUGUCCGGUCAUAAUAUAGUAGGUAGUAAUAUCGUGGGGGUCCACAUAUCUUCACAAUUCUUCGUUAUCGUCGUGUAGGCGACAGGGACUAAUAUCACUGAUUAUUUCCAAAUAAGUUAAAUGACUCAUGUACGGUCAGCCACAGUGGAAGAGAGGAUAUUUGUUUGAAGCCACUCACACUAUUUUAAAUCGCAUCUCUUUCGGCUGUUUGAAAAAUAUUAGCUAUGUUAAUUGUACCUACUAUCAGGACCGAUAUUGUGUUUUCUGAUAAUGUUUUAUGGAUUUUUAGCAUGUUUGCUGUCCGUUUUAACAAAAAAUAAAUAAAAAAAUAACGAAAUGCAUAGCAUUUAAUACUUUCUCGUAAAUUAUAGGCCUAUAUAAUCUCUAGAAAAAUAAUAUGUUAUUGAACGUUAUGGGUUUUAAUGAAUUAAUCUCACUAUAACAAAAACAUUUUUUUUUGGAUGGUUUGUGUGUGUGUGUGUGGGUGUGUGGGUGCGUGUGUGUGUGUGAGAGAGACAGAGAGUGAAAGAGAGAUAGGUUGCGAAUGUUAGUUAUAUUUUAAAAUGUUGUUACACCAAUAGGUCAACCGGUCACACACACAGGCUAUUAUUAUGAUUACAAUCACUGUUAUUGUUAUAAUUCUUAGUCAUUAUGGUUUUUAUCACUAUUAUAUAUCAGUGUGUUAUUAUUAUUUGUUAGUAUUACAUACGGGGAUUGGCUACACUAUAACAUCAGUGUACAUAACUUUAGAAUUUGACGCUGAACAAAGGCUUUAAAAUGUCUUUAGAAGGGACAAAAUUAUUUGGCAAAUAUUAAUUGAUACUUGCAAGGUGGGAAUGUUGGUGUGUGUUGACAUACAGAUUUUAUUGGGGAUUUGGAAGGGGCUACGAGUGGGGAGAGGGGAUUUUGGUAGUUAAUACAUAGCGACAUCUAGUGGUUACUGUGGGGAAAUUGCGUCACGUUUGAAGGCCACAUAUUAGUUACUCGUUUUACCAAUAUUUCGAUUAUUUCUUCUUUGUAAUUUAACGAAAUAAUGACAGCAGAAAGUAAUGUAAAUGUUGAAAUCUGAAAAUAACGAAAGACGUAUGACCGAAUAAAUGUAUGGAGGUAUGCAGCAACCACACGUCAACAAAAAGAAUAGUCUUUACUAGCCAAAAACACAACAUUCAACUCUUAGAUUUGGUGGAAUGUCUUUUUUUUCUUCCUCAAAUUAAAGAGAAAAUACAACACUUUUUUUUUGUUGCAAUAAACCUGAAUGAAAUGACGUAACAUACUAUUUCUCACUGUAUUUCUUAGUUCUUAAAAUGUCUUGACUUUAUUCUUUUUUGGACAUAUUUUUGAUAAUAGAUUUAUUUUAAAAGACUUGUCCCUGGGUAUUAUCAUGUUAUUACUAAUACUACUAAUUUAUUAGUUAUUUUUUCGACAAAUAGAUUAUUUGAAUUGCAGACAUUUACAGUAAAAUAGUUAUAUUGUGUUACACACGUGUACAAGUUUAUUUAGUUGCAAAUGUAAUAAUAUUGUUAUCUUCUUUAAUCAUAGCAUGCACUAUAGGGUACGCUUAUUUUUUUCGAUUCGUUAUUCCUGUCUGUAAAAUUUUAAUUAGCUUAGGCUACAUAAACAAAUGUUACGCGUGCAAACAAAUACAGAUAUAAAAAUUAAGGUCUCCCUUAUCUUUUUAGACUAUGAAGAAUAUUAUUAUUUUACGCCCUUACUUGAGCGGUCAGUGUACAUGCAUGCGGUGUUUGCCAAUCCCACAAAUGGUGUCCCUACACAAGUACACUGACACUUGAAGUUGUACGCGCAACAAACCGGGUCCGAAUCCGGGUCAGGAAAAUGUUGGUGUAACAUCUGAUCCAUUUGCUUUACAUUUGGUAGUUGCCUAGGUUUACGUCUAUACAAUCUAACUCGGUGUUAAGUUAUGUGAAUACAACAAGGUUAUCUCUAAGAUUUAGGACGUAAUAAAAUGUACAGCAAAGUACUUAAAAUAAAAGGUUUCAGCCGUAAACAAUCCUUAUUUUUAAUAAUUUAAUUCGAUGUACAGUGUAUUAAAUUAUUGUGCUCAGAUAGAGUUCAUAUUAUAACAAAAAUACAUGGCGGCUAUUUGAGACAAAAUUGAUAACGGUGGUUGCUCAUAGCAAUUUGUGGAAAGGUAUUUCAGCUGUUUGGUACUAAUGGCAUUAAAGUUGAGUAUUUCUUUUCAGACCACGUUGCACACAGAUUUAUUAAUCCCUGUAGUGACCGUUUUUUCAAAUGUUCCAAACUCACAUCCAUUUCAGAUCUACUAUCUCAAUGUAAAAUGAAUAUGACAAAGCACCGAUCCACUGCUCCAGGUAUUAUAUUCAUGCUUCUUAAUAAUAGGCUAUAUAUGCGACCAGUUAUUCCAUUUAAUAAGAUAGAGGACCUUUUAUUUUGUUUGUUUUUUGUUGUUGUUUUUUUUCCAUAGCAUAUGCCCAGAAUAAUAUAUGUUCAUUGUCAAAAUGUAUCACUGGCAGUAAUGAUGUUAUUUUAAUGUUAAGUGAUACAAACUGUGGCUGUAAAUGUCAAAUCAAAGUCUGCAAUUUGAGUUACCAUGAGUCAAUGCCAAGAUUAUGUGCUAGGCUAUAACAAAUAAAUCCAGAAAUGUAAUAGCCAUGUUUCAAUGUCAUGUCAUGCUUGCUAUAGCUGUUGAAAAAAAUGGCACCAUAUAAGAUUGUCACCAUCAUUAUCCGCGGUUACUGUUGGUUUGUCUACUGUAAACUGUUAAGCUAACGAAAUUACGUUUAUAUGGAAGAUACAUGCCUUCACGUUUAAUCUACUAUGUUAAGGUAUCAAGGUGAAGGGCAAACAGUAUACAGAGAAAUGGACAAACACAAUGAAGUCACACCAGAACAUCAGGGUAACUAAGAAAACCAGUAACUUUACUGAAUUCUCUGAAAAAUACAAAUACCCUUUCCCCAGCAGAAUAUACUUUUAUUUCAGGUUCCAGGUUAUUUCAUUACAUAGACUACAACUGCAUCCAGUCCUUUGAGAUACAAAGAUGUGGUUUUAAUUUAAUAACAUCUUAUCUUCAGUUGGCGACAAAGGCCAGCUUAUGCCGCUGAAAGCCGCUCCUGCGUUUCAAACACUAACUUCAGACCUCCACAAUUUUCAGAUUUAUACAAGCUACAUUAGACACUAAAGACUAGUGAGUAUUUCUAGCUAUUCAUCUCUAUAUAUAUAUUAUGGUGUAUAUAUAUAUAUAUAUAUAUAUAUAUAUAUAUAUAUAUAUAUAUAUUAUGGCAGACUAAAAGACAAUUGCAAACAACGUGGAUCUAUCAAAGAACCCCAAUUGAAUAGAGUUUGGGAGCUUAAACAAUGGUUUGAUUUACCACAUCACUGUACAAGUCUAUGGACUCCUGGUUGUGGAAGGGACUGAUAAAAAGAAUAGCUGAGGUACUGUGAGGGUUCAUUUGAGCGGAGGUAGCCUAGCGGUAUUAUAGGCUAAGACAGAAAAAUUACAACUGAUCAACAGGUGAAGAAAUACAACAGCUUAAAAUCCAUAACUGAAAUAAAAUAUUAAAUCAAGCACGUCUUUGGUUACACAAUGUCAAUAAACGCCACCUAGACCUCAAAAAGCAAACUACAUAAAUAUGUAGAUUUCCGCGUUUGUUUCUACCUAAUUAAUGUGGCAUGGGGCACAAAAAGCUAAGUAACUCAACCAGCUAUGAACAAAAGUAGAAUUUGGAAAACAUGCUUUUCCAUGACAAAUAUUCAAUGAAUAUACCCAAAAUUACACAUAUUUAUUUUUUGAUUGAAAAUGCAGUUCACAUAGAAAUGCAUUCCAAAUAUAGGCAAUUAGCCAAUGACACUAAAGAUAAUACCAUUAGGACAUGCAAUGGUAUUUCAAACCUCUUACCAGUUUGACACCAGAACAGUAUAAAGUCUGACCAAUUCAAAUUGAAAUGGGAAACCAAUUGUACAUUUCGAGCAAAUGCUUUUAUUGUUUUUUUUUUUCAAUGCUUGCAAUAACCAUAAAUGAAUGUGAAAAUAAAAGUUGAAUAAUAUUACAACACAAAAAUGCCACUGGCUUUGGUUUCUCCACACAUAUGCUGCCUGAAAUAUCAUGUUUUUUUUUCUCAACCUUUUGUACUGAAUUAAAAAAAGAAAGAACACGUUAGGGGCUCUGCCCCUGUUUCUGACUACACAGACUGUAUACAGUCACAACAUAGUGAACCUUUGCAUGAAAUAUGCACAUAGAAAUACCAUAACAAUUUAGUGACAGUAGACUGAGGAGUGAGAGGCAGAGAAAUAAUGUGUCUAGUUAAUGUUUUUUCUUUUUUUAAACAAGCUGUAUUAGUCUGAGAUCAACUCUUGUGCUUCUCACAAACCAGCGUGUACAUUUUCCCUACAACAUCAUGUUUGAAUACUUGAUGUUACAGUGCUGAGGUGGGGGUGGGGGGGGGGUACUCUGAGCUGGCGACUGGGGUUGAGUAUAAGCACCACACCUGUAGAUUAACAGUUUACCACCCAUGUAGAUUAACAGUUUACCACACAUGUAGAUUAACAGUUUACCACCCAUGUACUCAACAGCUCCAUCGUUUGACACAGAUAGAAUUUGGAACUUUCAAAUAAAUAUUUUCUCCUGGACUCUGGUGUGUCCUGCACUGUGUUUCACUUCGAUGACGGGCAAAAUGCUUUGUCUGUGAAAACAUUAAAUUAAACGGUCAAAAUAUACAGACUGUAAGUCCCAUCAAAGAGGAUGUUGGAGGAUAUCGCUGAAUCUUAACUAUGAGGAUCAAGAGACAUGCAAAGAUUGUAUCAAACAUGUUCAUUUCACAUGCCACAUGUCAUCCCCUGUCUGGACCUCAGUGCCCCAGGUCGGAUCCCACAUGGUCUCCUCAAACAUGUUGAACAUAGACAUGGGCAACUCUGUUAAGCUGGUUCUCAUGGAUACACUGAAUUUGCCUCAGAACAGCACCGUCUAAGGCUCAAAUAAAACCAACAAAAAACAGACAAUAUGUGCAACUGCACAUAAGAAACUCCACUAAGAAAAAACCCCCACAAAAAAAACAUUAUUAUAUAUAUUUAUAUAUUAGAAAGCUAUACACAAGCAUGUUAAUUUCACAGAUUUUUUUUUUAAAGAUUCUUAAUAUUAUCAUUAUUAUAUAUAAUUAGAAAUACACGUUUAAAAACGAAACCUCUACAAAGAGAAAACAGUUCAGCAAAGCACGGGUUCUCAGUCUGUUUUCAUGGCUUAGGGUUUGAACACCCAGUAAUUUCCUUCCUCCUUAGACUAUCUGUCUUGUAUUAGCAAAGCUAUCAAAAAACACAUUCUGGCUUAUAGAAACUACAAAAAGCCACAAAAAUGCUUUGCAUUGUAUUCCUUUCAUAUGAAAAUAUAAGCAAGUGUAUCGUACAAUUGUAUUUUGUAAUACUGAGUAUCUAUUACCAGACCCAGGGUUUCUUGAUUACAAUAACAUGGCUCUUGGGUAAAAGGAUGGUCCUAUCAAUGUGCUCCACAUUUCUUAAGGAGCUCUGUGUUUAGCAUGGUUUCGCUUCCUGGUUUCUCUCAUCUACCAAAGGGCCUACGGGUAUACCUGUACAAUCGUUCAAAUGUUGCAUAUUAGCUAUCAUUUUGUGUAUGAAUAAUCUGUAAUAUCUGGCAACUUUUGACCCCUCCCCUUUGCCCCCUGACCCUCUAUUUACAUAAAUACGUUGAACCUGCAACAUGACAUCAUCUAUUGUAACAUACAUUUUGCAAGGGAGAACUGCGGAGAAAGGUAGCAAUGAAGUUGACUCUGUACACAUGUAUUGGUUGACCAACUCAAGAGCUAGGCGGUUCAUUCAGCAACACACGCUCCCGAUUUAUCCUCUAGUCACUGAUCAUCACUGAGGCAAGUUGGAAGUACUUUACAAAACAGAGUACCUGACUUUUUUUUAGUUAUUUGUCAAUAUGCAUACAUGUACACAUAUACACGUGUAAUUAUAUAUGCAUACAUUUUUUUUUUUCAAACACUGCAAAAGUAAUGCAUAGUUCCCCACCAAGAAAUCCCCCCC
Long non-coding RNA from Esox lucius (northern pike), 8806 nucleotides. The record is from Ensembl. Lineage: Eukaryota; Metazoa; Chordata; Actinopteri; Esociformes; Esocidae.